RNAcentral lists this long non-coding RNA (403 nucleotides) under Homo sapiens (human). RNAcentral's name for it is "non-protein coding lnc-NMI-5:1". Lineage: Eukaryota; Metazoa; Chordata; Mammalia; Primates; Hominidae. The record is from RNAcentral.
GAGGCUUAUUGCCUGCUUUAAAUGAAGGUCAGAUAAUUAUUAUCUGCUUCAGGAAAAAACAGAGAAGGCCAGAAAAACCCUCCUGCUUCUGCUGUUUUUUCAAAUGCCAAGGUGCCAUUAUUUUGGGGUAGUGUAUCCUAAACCCUGUCAGUGGCUUCCUUUACUGAAUGUGAACUAUCACUGCUUUCCAUUAGUGGAGACAUCUAUCUUUUUCAAAGUUAAAUCUACUAAGCAAGGGAUACUUAAACAAAAACAAACCCCUAGCUUUAUAUGUUUUUUAAAAUUAGUUUCUCCACAAAAUUCUUAUCAAAUAAUUUCCCUUGGGCUACCAGACCAUAAUUAUUGUGCAUAGACUUUUUUUUAAAGAUACAGGAUUUUAAUUUUCUUCACAUAAUAUAGGACA